AAUUUUCUGCAAUGGGCGAAAGCCUGACAGAGCAAUACCGCGUGAGGGAAGAAAGCCCACAGGGUUGUAAACCUCUUUUGUCAAGGAAGAAGUUCUGACGUUACUUGACGAAUAAGCAUCGGCUAACUCCGUGCCAGCAGCCGCGGUAAGACGGGGGAUGCAAGUGUUAUCCGGAAUCACUGGGCGUAAAGCGUUUGUAGGUGGUUUAGUAAGUCUAUUGUUAAAGCUUGAAGCUUAACUUCAAAAAUGUAAUAGAAACUACUAGACUUGAGGAUAGUAGGGGUAAAGGGAAUUUCCAGUGGAGCGGUGAAAUGCGUAGAGAUUGGAAGGACCACCGAUGGCGAAGGCACUUUACUGGGCUAUCUCUGACACUAAGAGACGAAAGCUAGGGUAGCGAAUGGGAUUAGAUACCCCAGUAGUCCUAGCUGUA
RNAcentral lists this ribosomal RNA (430 nucleotides) under uncultured marine bacterium. Its description in RNAcentral is "bacterial SSU rRNA". It matches the Rfam family "Bacterial small subunit ribosomal RNA", at positions 360 to 804 of the family's 1533-position model. The record is from RNAcentral.